This 253-nucleotide ribosomal RNA is filed under the name uncultured bacterium. RNAcentral's name for it is "partial 16S ribosomal RNA". It matches the Rfam family "Bacterial small subunit ribosomal RNA", at positions 524 to 776 of the family's 1533-position model. The record is from RNAcentral.
UACGUAGGGACCGAGCGUUGUCCGGAUUCAUUGGGCGUAAAGAGCUCGUAGGCGGCCACUCAAGUCGAAUGUGAAACCUCGAGGCUUAACCUCGAGCCUGCAUUCGAUACUGGGCGGCUAGAGUCUGGUAGGGGGAUCUGGAAUUCCUGGUGUAGCGGUGAAAUGCGUAGAUAUGUGGAAGAACACCAGUGGCGAAGGCGGUUUUCUAGCUUACACCUGACGCUGAGGCGCGAAAGCAAGGGGAGCAAACAGG